UUAAAAAGCUCGUAGUUGGAUUUCUGCGGGGGCGGGGCGGCCGGAUGCUUAUAGCAUCUCGAGCUAGCACUUCCCCUGCAUCCUGCCGCGAACCAUGCUACCAUUAGUUUGGUGGCGCCGGGGAUCGGCUCGUUUACUUUGAGAAAAAUAGAGUGUUCAAAGCAGGCCACACGCCUUGAAUAAGUUAGCAUGGAAUAAUGAUAAAGGACUUCGGUUCUAUUCUGUUGGUGUUCGGGACUGAAGUAAUGAUUGAUAGGGACAGUUGGGGCGGUCCGUAUUCCAAAGCGAGAGGUGAAAUUCUUAGACCUUCGGAAGACGAACCGCCUGCGAAAGGCGUUCCGCAAGGAUGUCCCUUGAUCAGA
RNAcentral lists this ribosomal RNA (362 nucleotides) under uncultured marine eukaryote. Its description in RNAcentral is "bacterial SSU rRNA". It matches the Rfam family "Eukaryotic small subunit ribosomal RNA", at positions 619 to 982 of the family's 1831-position model. The record is from RNAcentral.